GUCUAUGGCUAUACCACCCUGAACAUGCUUGAUCUCGCCUGAUCUCAGAAGCUAAGUAGGGUUGGGCCUGCUUAGUACUUGGAUGGGAGACAUAAAGAACAAUGAAACAGAACUGAAAAAC
RNAcentral lists this ribosomal RNA (121 nucleotides) under Mustela putorius furo (domestic ferret). Lineage: Eukaryota; Metazoa; Chordata; Mammalia; Carnivora; Mustelidae. The record is from RNAcentral.